AUGAUGGUGAGUAGGCCAGAGACCACCCAGCAGGCUCCGUGGCUGAGGGGGUGUCGACAGCAGCAGAGCAGAGGUGCCUUUUCCAAAGCUGACCUCGAAACCCCAGCCAUGACAUCGCUUGCCAAGAUGCCCACAUCUCUCUCGCUCCCUCCUUCCUUCCACUGGCUGAUUGAUUCUGCAGAGAACGUCUUUCUCACAGUUCGUUUGCACACAGACAGUCCUGCUCGUCCCAGGGUUGUGUUGAGCUGUGCCACUCUUGACCCCAAGGCUGUCCACUCCUCAUUCCUGCCCGGGCAGCACAAGUGCCUUUAGGUGAUGCUGCUGCAAUACCUUAUGAGUACUUAGCACCCACCAGGAGCAACAGCUGAUCACAGGCAGAUCACAGGUAGUGGUCUUCUGAGAAGGAACACGUGUUUCCCUGGUCAGCAGUGAAUUUUACCUUGGCCCAUCGGUGGGCCAAGGCACCGCCCAUCGAUUCUCCCCAAUGGCUUGCUACCCCUCUCCUUUUAUCUGGCAAGGGCUGGUGGCAGCCUUAAGGCAGCUGAGAUUUGGCCUGUGCCAUCCCUUCUGUCCAAUUAUUAGCUUAGGAAUUUUGUAAGGUACUAUUGUCAUGAAACAUGUUUGAUGUGGAAAGCCGACUGUUUGCUACAUGCACCCCCUCGGUUAAUUUCUCUCCUGCCAUGGGAACAGAUGCACCCAGGAGGCUUGAAAAAAUCAAGGAGGGUUGGCAAGACUAAACGUUAUGCCCAGUUUUUUGUAUGGGGGACUAGAAAUUCAGGAGCGCAGUGCUGGGUCAGAGCAAAGGCCCAGCCUGUCUUCCAGCCAGAUGUUUAGAAGAAGCGGGAGAUCAAUAGCCCCACCUGGAUUCUGACUCAUUUCAGAAAUUCACGGCUGCCAGCCGGUGCCUUAGAGGGCAUUAACAGAGAAUUAGGCACAUUGAUUUCAUUUCUGGAUUGCUACCCAUGACAGAACAUCCCAAAGACAUUAACUGUAGAAAUAGAUUUUAAAAAAUAGUUACAGUCAUACCUCUAGUAGCGUUAGGUUUACGUUGCGUUUUUUCUGGUUACGAAUGUGGCAAACCCGGAAGCGUUUACUUCCGGGUUCGCCGAUAUGCGCAGGAGCGAUCUGCGCGCUUUGCGCAUGCGCAGGAGCGAUUUGCAAACUUCGUGCAUGCGCAGGAGUGCUCUAUCACGUCAUGCGCAGAAGCGGUGCUCUACUUACGGACUUUUCGGUGUGUGAGCGGCACACCGGAACAGAUUGCGUCCGUAAGUAGAGAUACCACUGUAUACAGGUACAGACUGGGACAUGGAUACCCACUUAAAAGACUGGAGGGAGCAAAAAGGCAAUAGAGGCAGUGCCUGUGAGCAAUGAGGAUGUCUUAAUGUUGGCCUUUAGGCAUGACACUCUUUACUGGUUGUUGGGGGGAAAUCUAGAAGACGAGGGCUAUUCCCUCCACAUCUUGCUUGUGGGCUUCCCAUUUGAGGCAUCUGGUUGGCCACUGUGAGAACAGGAGUCAUGGGCCUCAUCCGGCAGCCAGGCUCUUUUGACACACUCAGUUUUUUUAGGGUCCCUCCAGCCUGGUGUUGUGGGCUUGCUUUUGCUUUUCUUCCACAGCAACUCCUUGACGCAGGAUCAGUGCAAUAUUGCGGGUUGUCCCCAGAUCAGUCCGCUUCAUUAGUUGUUCUGAGACGCUUUCCCUGCGUUGCCGCAUUAUUGCUUUCUGGAUGGACGCUCCUGCCCUGUAGCACGACGAAGGAGGGAUGUUAGAAAAACCCUGCAAGAUCAGUGGUAUGAAAAGUUAGCAGGAAGUUGUGGGAUCUGCACUAACUGGAAAUUUGAGCUUAAGUUUCAGUCAUGUCUGUUGCUGGUUGAUUUCACUUUUUUUUUUACAAAAAAUGACGAUUUAUUGAUUUUCCAAAGAUAACACACACAAAAAUAAAAGCAACAACACUACAAAAGACAAAACGAAACAGAAGUAAUUGACUUCCCUCUAGUCCCUUCCUUGGUUCCGUUACUUAUCAAUGUAGCGCAUGUCUAUUGUCCAGUUUGAAACCUGUUUAAAUUACUCAUUAUCCAUUCAUAACAAAAUUACAUGUAAUUUUAAAACCCUGCUAAUGUAUUAACCUGUGUGCAAUGCUUCUCUAUAUAUGCAAUAAACAUUUCCCAUUCUUCUUUAAAUUCAUUUAUGUCUCUUCCUCUUCGUUUCAUUGUCAGUUUUGCCAUUUCAGCAUAUUCCAUUGUUUUAACUGCUGAGUUGCUGAGGUCUGUCACGCAACUGCGCUAACUCUGCGGAUCCCUAAGUGUGCCAGUGUCAGUUGGCAUCAGUCACUGUAAUGUUCGGGCAUGUGUCUCUGCCAGGGUCCUACUCGAGUGUAGGCUGAACUCCUGAUGGGGGCUCUGUAGAGGGGGUGCCCCAUCUCAGGCUGCAGAUGAGCAGAAACGGGACAAAUUCAUGGUGGAUCAAGCUAUCAGCAUCUCCUAGCCAAGACGUCUCUGCUCUGCCUCCAUGGUUGCUUCCCAAUCCCAGCUGCUGGAAGCCCCAGGAGCGGGGAGAGUUGCUCUUGUGCUCUGGUCAUGCUUGCAAGAUUCACAUAAUGGGCAUCUGUUUGGCCCCUGUGAGAAGAAGAUGCUGGACUAGAUCAGCCACUGAUUAAGAGAGCCAGUGUGGUGUAGUGGUUAAGAGCGGUAGACUCGC
Molecule: long non-coding RNA, 2695 nt
Filed under: Podarcis muralis (Common wall lizard)
Lineage: Eukaryota; Metazoa; Chordata; Lepidosauria; Squamata; Lacertidae
Description: lncRNA (ENSPMRG00000018454.1)
Source: RNAcentral